GUNUCCGGAUCNUAGGUUAAAGGUGGUAGCCGAAGGAUAAGUCAGUGGUGAAUCUGCGGCUUACCGUAAAAUUGCCAUGAUACUGUUUUCUGAGUGUGGUGAGGUAGGCGGAAUGAGUAAUGUAGCGGUGAAAUGCUUAGAUAUUACUCAGAACACCGAUUGCGUAGGCAGCUUACUAAGCCAUUACUGACGCUGAUGCACGAAAGCGUGGGUAGCAAACAGGAUUAGAUACCCUGGUAGUCCACGCAGUAAACGUUGAUUACUCGUUGUUGGCAAUACAUCGUCAGCGACUGAGCAAAAGCAUUAAGUAAUCCACCUGGGGAGUACGUCAGCAAUGAUGAAACUCAAAGGAAUUGACGGGGGCCCGCACAAGCGGAGGAACAUGUGGUUUAAUUCGAUGAUACGCGAGGAACCUUACCUGGGCUUAAAUGUUAAGUGCUAUACCGGGAGACCGGUUUUUCCUUCGGGACACUUUACAAGGUGCUGCAUGGUUGUCGUCAGCUCGUGCCGUGAGGUGUCGGGUUAAGUCCCAUAACGAGCGCAACCCCUAUUGCCAGUUGCCAGCACAUCAUGGUGGGAACUCUGGUAAAACUGCCGGUGCAAACCGCGAGGAAGGUGGGGAUGACGUCAAAUCAGCAUGGCCCUUAUGUCCAGGGCUACACACGUGUUACAAUGGUCGGUACAACAGGAAGCUAUUCCGCGAGGAACCGCUAAUCCCGAAAGCCGAUCUUAGUUCGGAUCGGAGUCUGCAAUUCGACUCCGUGAAGCUGGAUUCGCUAGUAAUCGCAGAUCAGCCAUGCUGCGGUGAAUAUGUUCCCGGGCCUUGUACACACCGCCCGUCAAGCCAUGGAAGCCGGGGGUGCCUGAAGUCCGUAACCGAUAAGGAGUGGCCCAGGGUAAAACCGGUAACUGGGGCUAAGUCGUAACAAGGUAGCCAA
RNAcentral lists this ribosomal RNA (938 nucleotides) under uncultured bacterium. Its description in RNAcentral is "bacterial SSU rRNA". It matches the Rfam family "Bacterial small subunit ribosomal RNA", at positions 541 to 1503 of the family's 1533-position model. The record is from RNAcentral.